GUUGCGAUGGCCGAGUGGUUAACGCGUUGGACUAGAAAUCCAAUGGGAUCUUCCCGCGCAGGUUCGAAUCCUGCCCGCAACG
This 82-nucleotide transfer RNA is filed under the name Nematostella vectensis (starlet sea anemone). It matches the Rfam family "tRNA". Rfam says of the family: Transfer RNA (tRNA) molecules are approximately 80 nucleotides in length. Their secondary structure includes four short double-helical elements and three loops (D, anti-codon, and T loops). Further hydrogen bonds mediate the characteristic L-shaped molecular structure. tRNAs have two regions of fundamental functional importance: the anti-codon, which is responsible for specific mRNA codon recognition, and the 3' end, to which the tRNAs corresponding amino acid is attached (by aminoacyl-tRNA synthetases). tRNAs cope with the degeneracy of the genetic code in two manners: having more than one tRNA (with a specific anti-codon) for a particular amino acid; and 'wobble' base-pairing, i.e. permitting non-standard base-pairing at the 3rd anti-codon position. Lineage: Eukaryota; Metazoa; Cnidaria; Anthozoa; Actiniaria; Edwardsiidae. The record is from Rfam by way of RNAcentral.